Molecule: non-coding RNA, 339 nt
Organism: Triticum aestivum (bread wheat)
Lineage: Eukaryota; Viridiplantae; Streptophyta; Magnoliopsida; Poales; Poaceae
Source: Rfam
AUCGAGAAAACCAUGUCGAAGGAACUCGGCAAAAUGACCGCGUAACUUCAGGAGAAGGGGUGCUCUCCUAUCUUUUGAUUAGGAAAGCGGCACAUACCAGGGGUAGCGACUGUUUAUUAAAAACACAGGACACUAUUAAGUGGUAACACGAUGUAUAGAGUCUGACACCUGCCUGGUGCUGGAAGGUCGGAAGGAGAAGUGUGAUAAGCUUUGAAUAGAAGCCCCGGUAAAUGGCGGUAGUAACUCUAAUUGUCCUAAGGUAGCGAAAUUCCUUGUCGCAUAAAUAGCGACCUGCACGAAUGGUGUAACGACUGCCCCGUUGUCUUCGACAUGGACCCG